This 440-nucleotide ribosomal RNA is filed under the name uncultured bacterium. RNAcentral describes it as "partial 16S ribosomal RNA". It matches the Rfam family "Bacterial small subunit ribosomal RNA", at positions 338 to 795 of the family's 1533-position model. The record is from RNAcentral.
CCUACGGGAGGCAGCAGUGGGGGAUAUUGCACAAUGGGGGAAACCCUGAUGCAGCGACGCCGCGUGGGUGAAGAAGCGCCUCGGCGCGUAAAGCCCUGUCAGCAGGGAAGAAAAUGACGGUACCUGAAGAAGAAGCCCCGGCUAACUACGUGCCAGCAGCCGCGGUAAUACGUAGGGGGCAAGCGUUAUCCGGAUUUACUGGGUGUAAAGGGGGCGCAGACGGCGAUGCAAGCCAGGAGUGAAAGCCCGGGGCCCAACCCCGGGACUGCUCUUGGAACUGCGUGGCUAGAGUGCAGGAGGGGCAGGCGGAAUUCCUGGUAUAGCGGUGAAAUGCGUAGAUAUCAGGAGGAAAACCGGUGGCGAAGGCGGCCUGCUGGACUGCAACUGACGUUGAGGCCCGAAAGCGUGGGGAGCAAACAGGAUUAGAUACCCCAGUAGUC